RNAcentral lists this long non-coding RNA (11811 nucleotides) under Lathyrus oleraceus (garden pea). RNAcentral describes it as "Pisum sativum (pea) long non-coding RNA (PSAT_LNC011672)". The record is from RNAcentral. Lineage: Eukaryota; Viridiplantae; Streptophyta; Magnoliopsida; Fabales; Fabaceae.
GUCGACGGCGUGGGUUACUUCGGUGGCGGAGUUCGAUCCACGGUGGAAGGAAAAAGAAGAGUGAGGUUGUUUAGAUCGCAGUCAGCUUGGUAGAUGGCGUUGAAGGGAAUUCGCGGCGGCCAUGGCGGUUAGCCGGAAGUUGUUGAAGGAUGUUAAGGGCGGAGAAUUCGAGACGUACGGUGGAGUGUGUAUGUUAUGGUGGUGUUUGUUGGAAGGUUUGAGUUUAUGAAGAAGAAGAGGAUUUGAAGGAAUUGAGUGGGUAAGGGUGUGACGGCAGUGCGUUUUUUCAAGGGGAAGAAGAAGGUGGAUUUCAGUGUUUUGUGUGUGUGACGUUUGGGAGCAGAAGAAGUAUUCCUCCCUUUUUGUUUUUUUCUGUCCCAUGAGUCCCCUUUUUCUUGAGACAGAGUGGUGAUCCCCACGUGAAGAAGAAAUCUCUUUGUUUCCCCUUUUUCCCCGUUAGCCAGCUGUUCCUCCAUUAAUAAAAUCCCAUUUUUGUUCUUAUCCCAUCUCUCCCAAUAACAUGAUGCCACGUUUCAUGUUGAGAGUAUGGAUAAAAAAUCUUCUCAAAUGCAAGCUGUCAAACGUGUAUCUUUCACAAGUAUACAACUUUAUUUUUAAUUUUUAAUUUUUAAUGUUAAUAUUAAUAUUAUUUGAUUUUUCAUGAUUAAUAUUAUUAUUAAUUGAUUUUUGAUUGGAUAAUGGAAUAUGAUAACGAUUGCAAAUGAGAUCCGUGGAUUAAUUUGUAUCAACGAUCCUGAUUAAUCCAAAGAAGCACAAGCAAUUUUAAAAUGUCCGAUAUGUCCCUUUUAUAUGAUUUUAAUUGAUUUAAAAUAAUUUAAAUCAUCAAAUCAAAUUAAAUUCGCAUCUUUCUAAAUACAUACGAUAAAAAUAAAAUGAGAAUACGAAAAAUUCUAUUUAUUUCUUUUGAACAUUUUGGCGAAAGAAUAAAAAUAAAAUGACUAAAAAUUAAUAAAAGUCGGACGAAAAUUUGUUUAAAAAAUUAAAUCGGACGCACUAAAAUGAUCAGCGCGAAAUAUACUUAUUGAAAAAAUACAUCAUUUCUUUUAAUUUUGAAAUAAAUUUUGACCGAUUGAAAGGCUUAGACGGAUCAAAAUGCGAUUGAAAAAGUCGUCGAAAAAUAUAACGAGCACACCAUGUUAAACUACGCAGACCAUAGAUUAAUAAUACUGGCGUAUGCAAGUUUAAUUUUGAAACUUUUUACACGCUGAUUUUGCACGUACUUGAGAAAUGAUUUAACCAAUUUGUCUAUAUUUUCAAUAAUUUAUUUCGACCGAUAUUUUAAGUAUUAUUCAUGAUGAAAUGCAUGUUAUGCUGUACAACUGAUGCAAAUUAAAAAUGAAAUCAAGUUUAUGAAAAAUUUAAAAUGUCUGGACAAAAUUGGGGUAUGACAGCUGCCCCUAUUUAGUUACCUUGAUCCGGAAAGUAAGAAUUACAGCAGUGUCCGUAAAUUCGUGGUGGAAGGUAAUUAAAUACGAAAAGACCCAAAUUUUGUCCUUUGAAAUGUGAUGGAGAAAUGUAGAAAGAAAAUGUAACGAAUCCUAACGACAUCCAGGGUAUUAGGGGUAGAAUAUCCGAUCAAUGCCAACCCUCGAGUCGACAUUUAAAUCUUGCAAAGGUCGUUAUUGAUAUGAGGACAAACCUGAGCAGGUUUUCUGGCACCAAAAGGAUGACAAUAGAAUUAAUUGCCAUCACCAAAAGGGUGAUAGUAAUUCACCAUGAUUUCCGGGAUCGUCAUCACCAAAAGGAUGAUGGAAUACCAAGCUUCAAAGGUAGUCAUCACCAAAAGGAUGAUGGUUAUCCUGAUAAAGCUUUCCAUUACCGAGGGGGUAAUAUUAAGACUAUCAUCAAAAGGACGAUAGUUAACUCAUCAACUUCAAAGAUCACCGUCACCAAAAGGAUGAAAGUAAGUUCAACGACAAAACUUAUUAUCACCAAAAGGAUGAUGCUAAGUCACGGCAACUUCAUUGGAUCACCAUCACCAAAAGGAUGAAGGUAACAUUAACAACAAAACUUGUUAUCACCAAAAGGAUGAUAAAAAGUCAACAAUCACCAUCACCAAAAGGAUGAAGGUACUACCAAACAACAGAACUUGUUACCACCAAAAGGAUGAUAAUAAGUCAACAAUAUUAAUGAUCACCAGUAUCCAAAGGAUGAAGGUAAGAUCAACAACGAAACUUGUUAUCACCAAAAGGAUGAUAAUAAGUCACAAACUUCAAAUGAUCACCAUCACCAAAAGGGUGAAGGUAAGAUCAAAUAACAGAACUUGUUACCACCAAAAGGAUGAUAACAAGUCAUCAACCACCAUCACCAAAAGGAUGAAGGUAAAAACAAACAACAAAGCUUGUUACCCUCAAAAGGAUGAUAAUAAGUCAACAACUCAAAUAAUCACCAUCACCAAAAGGAUGAAGGUAAGAUUAAUAACAAGACUUGUUACCACCAAAAGGAUGAUAAUGAGUCACAAUCACCAUCACCAAAAGGAUGAAGGUAUUAUUGAACAACAAAACUCGUUAUCACCAAAAUGAUGAUAAUAAGUUACAACAACUUAAAUGAUCACCAUCACCGAAAGGAUGAAGGUAAGAUCAGAACAAAACUUGUUACCACCAAAAGGAUGAUAGUAAGUCGAGACAAACUUUAAUGAUCGCCAUCACCAAAAGGAUGAAGGUAAGAUCAAAUGACAAAACUUAUUACCACCAAAAGGAUGAUAAUAAGUCAAAAACUUCACAUGAUCACCAUCACCAAAAGGAUGAAGGUAUGAUCAACAACAAAACUUGUUACCUCCAAAAGGAUGAUAAUAAGUCACAAACUUCAAAUGAUCACCAUCACCAAAAGGAUGAAGGUAUGAUCAACAACAAAACUUAUUACCACCAAAAGGAUGACAAUAAUCUUUAAUAAUGAGAGGUCUCCAUUCACCAAAAGGAUGAAGGUUGGACCCAAAACUUCAAGGAUCUUCGACACCAAAAGGAUGACGGUAAGAUCACAAAUGUCAAGGGUUUACCAUUACCAAAAGGAUAACGGUUAUCAUAAACAAGGAGAUGAUUAAUAUUAUUCCUCAAUGAACUUUCACCAAAAGAAUGAUAGUGAGAAAAAUAUUUGGAAUAAUAAAGCUACUGACAAAGUUCAAUAAACCCGACUUGUUGGGUAGUAUUAGAACGUUACUGGGUAAGACUUGCUUGGGGUAUCGACAAUAAAAGGUUGCAGAAAAAUAUUCUCUGGAAAACAUAAUUUCCAUCAACAAAAGGUUAAAAGAAACAUCUCAUCGAGGAACGCUCAAUGAGAAACAAGGUAGGGGUUUGAAGAAAAAUUGUUCGACUUAGAUGAGGGUAACACCUUAUUAACAAAAGGUUAGAGGAUGUAAAUCAACGGGGAACACCCAACAAUACAAGGUAAGAACUCACUCAGAGAAAAUAAUAAAUGACUCAACUGAGGGUUGGCCUGGACACCUACGACUAAACCUUGGAUCUUGAUUCGUGCUAUAUGCAUGAAUGUUAUGUAUGCGUUAUGUAUGAGAUGAUGUAUGCAGUGCAUGUUUGAAUGUAAAGGAUGAUUGGUUUGUUUAGAAUUGGUCCCCCCUUUUCAAAGGAGAUGUAUUUUCUGGAAACAAAUACUGGUUGUAUUUGUUUUUGUGUGGGUUCCAACAAGGUGGACUUUGGGUUUUUUGGUAAUUGCCAAUAUGAGUUUGAUUGUUGGUGGGUGAAAGGAUCUGACUUCCCGACACUUGGUAGUUUAUGAUCUGAUGAACACGCAAUGGAUGUGGAUACGCUCGAUGCCCUAAGUUUGAUUUCUUGCUGUUAUGUUGUGUCUUUGCCCCUGAGGGGAACUCGACUUCUUCUUCUGAGAUGUUGGGUCAGCUUGUAACCGAGCAUAGUGACAUGAUCAACGCAUGAUGAUUAUGCUUUUGACGUGCCGCAAGGUUUCUUGUCAAGAUGUGAUAUUGUACCGGUAUGAAGUUUUGACAUUUUGGUUGUGAUCUUAGACAGUUUCUAGUGUCUGACACAAUCUGCCUGACCGACUUGAAGAUAUGAAGUGAAUUUUCCCCUUGCAACUUGUCUUGCCCAGUCUGUAGGGUGUUCAAAGGAAUUAUCCUUGAAAGGAAACCCUUAGGAGUGAUUAUCCCAUGACAUGGUCUGAGUCUGUUUCCUCCAACGUUUGUCUCUUGUGGUGGGAUAAACACAGAAAUGGAUAACAAAUGGUUUUGAACUCGGCAUUCAUGUCGUGUGAUUUUCUCUCUUCUUCUUUUUUUCUCGUGCAUAACUCAUAGCUUUGGGGGUUUAUCCACUUUUGGCUCUUUUCAACUCAAUUCUUUGUGAGCAUUUUAAAGGUGUUAGAGUCUUAAGUCUCGGCAAGUGCAUUUUCUUUUUUUUUUUUUCUUUUUGGACAUACACAUGUCUCUACUUUUUGUAUUGCUUUUAGAUCUCUUAUUAUGCACUUGCCCUUUCUUUCAAGAUUACCACCCCAAACUUAGCUUUUUGCACAUCUUGUAACUCACAACAAUCAUGCCGAGUGAUGGGAUGAAAUGAACGAUUAAUGGUCAACAUGGGGUUUAUUACGAACAAAAUGGCUAAGGCUCAACGGGGUUCACGAAGGGUAAACAUAUAAACAUGGAUGGCUAGAAAGGCUCUGGAUUAAACAAACAACUUGCCUCAGUGCGUGUUGUCAUGCUGUGAAGUGUCAAAAGAACAUACGCAAAAUCAGAGUGAUAGAGUCAUACCUGGCUGAACUCUCAUGAUAUUUAGUGUUUGGCCUUUUUAUUCUCACCAUGUUGGUUAAACUUACAAGCUCUGAAGCCUCCUAGUGUCAUGUGGUUUCUUUUCUGAUUCGGUUCUACCAUACCGCUCUCUUGGUCCAGUGUCACCAAAUUGUGUCCGACUUUUACUUUCUCAUGGUUGCAUCAACUUCCGGGGUACCUUAAUAGAACAAGUAUGAGGGGUGUCUUUCAUCCACUACAACCGAUCCCGGAUUCGUCCACAAUUUCUCAUCACUCUGUACACACCGAUAAACAAUAAAAACAAACGUUGAAGGAAAACAUGAACAAAAUGAAAACGAAAUAAAACAUGAAAGGAAAACCCCUCCCCCCCCCCACACCUGAACUAAACAUUGACCUCAAUGUUUAAAUCCAGAUACAAAGGGGACUCACAGCGACUACUGUUGUUUUACUGCACUUGUGUGGUUUCCUUCCAUUUUGAGGUGUUUGUGACUUUAUUAAAUCCAGAUACAAAGGGGACUCACAGCGACUACUGUUGUUUUACUGCACUUGUGUGGUUUCCUUCCAUUUUGAGGUGUUUGUGACUUUGCCCUUCUAAUUCUCCUCCUCCCCUACAACAAAAUUCUAGCACACAAAAAGAAAAAGAAAAACGAAAUAAAUUAGAAAUCAAACGCGUGGGUUGCCUCCCACGAAGCGCUUCCUUUAACGUCGCAUGGCUCGACGGUUCAUUUCCCUUAUCAUGGGGGGUAUUUCAGGUUCAAAACCUUGUUGCACCUCUUGUCUCUAACUCGGACGUUGUCUCUUUUAUCAGUGUUGACUCCUUUGCACCACGUUCCUUUUUAACCUUCCUUUCGAUGUUAGGAAUCUUCCCGUUUAGGGUGGCUACUGGCAGUGGUGAGACUUUGAUAGUAUUCAAUGUCCUGAUUAAGCCUACUUGAUACUGAGAUUUUGUAUCUUCCUCCAUAUCCUGGUCUUCAAUAGCUUUCAAUGUUAUUUCCUUGUUGUGAACUUUCAAGGUUAACGUGCACUCAUCCAUGUCGAGCUCGCAUCGACUCGUCUUCAUGAAAGGUCUACCCAGAAUGAUGGGUGCCUCAUUGUCUUCAGGUAUGUCUAGGAUUACAAAAUCGACUGGGAAAGUCAAGUCCGCUAUUGUUACCAACACAUCUUCAACCAUACCAUACGCAUCUUUUCUUGAGUGAUCCGCAAACUUCAGAUUGGUCUUUAUAUCACUGAUAUUUCUAAUACCCAGCCUGUGAUAGAUCGAUAAUGGCAUCAGAUUCAUACUAGCUCCAUAACCUAUUAGUACCUUUUUGAAGGUUCUUUCUUUGAUUGUGCAUGGUACUGUGACGGUUCCUGGAUCCUUUUAUUUGUUAGGAAUGUUCUGCUCCAGGGAGUUUGCAUUAUAUUGUUCCUUACCGGAUACCUGUUCUUCAGUGGUUGGUUUCUUUUCAGCCAUUACCUCUUCCACGAAUUUCUUGUACAUGGGCAUCCUUUCAAGUGGUUCAAACAAAGCCAUAUGACCCUCAAUCCUUUUAAACAUUGUCAUGAAUUUCUCCAAGUCUGACUCACUAGGUUCCUUCUUUGUCAUUCUCUGAGGGUAGGCAACUUAAUCACCGGUUUAGUUCCUUUUGUAGUUUCUUCUUGAGUCGGCUCUCUCGGUGAUGUAAUUUUUUCUUUUUAGCAGCCUUUUUCUCUGUCGUCGUGACAGUAUUAAACAUCUCUGACCUCUCGGAUUUUGAACUGUUUCACUUGGUAGGGAACCUGGUGUUCGAGAACUUGCCAGUUGCUGGGCUAUCUGCCCCAGCUGAACUUCGAGAUUCUUUAGGGAUGCGGCGAUGUUUUUCUGAUUGUUUCUAGUCUCUUCUUCAAAUUGCCCAUUUUGAGCUGCCGUCUUUUCAAUUGCAAUCUCCCAAUCUGCCUUCUUUGGGACUUGAUUUUGCUGUUGCUGAUAUUGGUUUUGAUAUUGGCCUUGUACUUGCUGUUGCACAUUCCCUUUCUGAUCCCUCCAUGCAAAGUUUGGAUGAUUCUUCCACCCCGGGUUGUAUGUGUUGGAGUAGGGAUUGUUUUGCUUUAAAAACUUGAUAUCUUCUAUCUGUUGCGGUGUUGCAAAGCAAUGAACAGUAUUGUGUGGUCCAUUACAAAUGCCACACACAUCGUUAGGUGCCUGUUGUACUUGAGCCACUUUCUGCGCACCUAUGUUUAGUGCCUUCAACCUUUUCUCCACCUCUGCAACAACUGCUUCUUCAAUUUUUACCUGUUUGUUUAUUUUAAGCUUCAAAUCAAUUACUGCAGAUUUGCUUGACACCCUAUCAUACAACUCCAGAUGCUCAUUUGAGGAAAUUGCUUCAAUUAUCUUCUUCAUACCGGUGGCUGUUGCAAAGUUAGCUGAGCCACCAGCUGUUGAGUCAAGGAUUUGUCUCGUUUGAAUUCGAAGACCAUUAACAAACAUUUGCAUCUGCUCAGUUUCAUCCAUGUUGUGAGUAGGACAAGCCACUAGGAUUCUCUUGAAUCUUUUAUAGGCAUCUCCUAUCGUUUGAAUUCGAAGACCAUUAACAAACAUUUGCAUCUGCUCAGUUUCAUCCAUGUUGUGAGUAGGACAAGCCACUAGGAUUCUCUUGAAUCUUUUAUAGGCAUCUCCUAGUGACUCACCCUCCUUUUGCUUGAAGUUUAGGAUCUCCUAUCUUUUUCUCAGUGACAUAGAUGCGGGAAAAUAUUCCUGCAAGAAUGUUGUUUCCAUCUGCUCCCAUGUAGUGAUACUGCCAGCCGGUAAGGAAUAGAAUCACUCUUCGGCUUCAUCUGCUAAAGUGAAUGGGAACAUACGAAGCCUUAUUGCUUCUUCGUUAUGUCCAGGCAUUUUCAGCGUUGUGCUCAUAGUUAAAAAUCUUUGCGGAUGCUUGUUGGCAUCUUCAUUCACUCUUCCAGAAAAGGACCGCCUUUCGAGUUGAUUAAUUAUGCUGGGAUGCAAUUGAAAUUGUUUUACAUUAACCGGGUGGUUUACAAUUGUCAUCCGACCACCCGGAGUGUUGGUUCCACCAUUGUCACCGAGAAGUCUCUCGGGUGGUGGUGGUGGUGGUGGGUUUGCAGCCAUGAUUUCAGGAACUAUUUCCGCGUCUGAAUCUGAAUUCUCUGAGUGCACUGAAACAACUUCCUCCUCUGCUUUCUUUGCUAAUUCCAGUUUUUCUCUCUUAGCUUGUCUUAGUCUAGCACGAAGAGUUCUUUCUGGAUCUGCGUCAAAAGAAAAAUCCGCUGAGGCCUUACCUCGCAUAAACAAGUUAGACAAAUAUUAGAAUUGAAUAACAAGAUUGUCACAGAUAAAAUUUUGGUUGACGAGCAGAUAUAAAUUCACAAAACCAACCAAACCCUUGUCUUUUUGUUCAAAUAGAAUCAGAAGUAAAAUAAGUAUUUCCCCCGCAAUCCCUGAGAUCGAUACUUGGAAAUAAAAUCCUAUUACAUCAAUCGCGUAAAAAAGUACACUUGCUAAUUCCGAUCAAGUUUUUGGCGCCGUGUCGGGUAAUGCCAAAUAAAACCUAUUUUAAUUUUUAAUUCUUAUUAUGAAAUUUUACAAAAAAAGUUGCUCAGCAAACCAAAAAAUAUUUAUAUGCCUGUAGUGACACACAUCUUAUCAAUCUAAUAUUGAUACGCCAAAAUUAAACAAUUGUUUAUGCGAGACAGUAAGCCUCAAGCGGAUUUUCUUUUAUGACGACAAUCCACGAAAGAACUACUUCGUGCUAGCACUAGAGACAAGCAAACGGAGAAGAAAAACAAUGGAAUAGCAAAGAAAGGCAGAGGAGGAGGAAAGAUUGUUUCAGUGCAACUCAGGAGAAUUCCGAUUCAGACGCGGAAAAUAAAUACAAAAAUCGUUCCUCGACAAUAUCAAAUGGCAAUGCAAAACACCCACACCACACAACAACAACACUCCAAACCACACCACACACCUGAGAAAAAAACUUAUCGAACCAAGAUAACAAGAUUGAGUGGAAAACCAAACCACUCCGGGUAGUGGACGAUGACAAAAUGUGAAACACCCAGGUAUGAUUAAAAACACAUUAAAUUACAAUUGUACCCAGCAAUAAUUAAAAUGCAAACUCGAAAAGAACGACACGUUCAUUUAUAUAAAUCUGGAAAGAUAAAAAAAGAUACAGCGAGUAAACAACAAAACAUUGUUGAAUGAAAAAAUGGUAGGAACCACAAACAAAAGAAAAAAGCAAACAAAAAAUACAAACCAACGAGGACAAAAAAACAAAAAAAGAAGAAAAGAGAAUAAAGAGAAAUAAUUACUUAACUCAUGAGCCAACAACGGCUUGAGAAAAUGCCCUGAACCAUAACGAAGAAGCAAUUAAGGAGUUCGCUAGUCCAUUACUCUUAGCAGAUGAAAGUCACGAAGGAGGUGAUAUACAUCAUCAAACUUAAAGCCGAAAAAAAGUGCUCGGCCAAAGAAUCAACCACAUCGGAGCAAGAGUGGAACUAUAAAACACAACAUUCUUGCAGGAAUAAUUAGUCGACAUAUAUAGAGUCCACUAGGAGAAAAAAAAAGAAAUAAAAAAAAAAAGAACCAAAGCAAUUAAAAUAGCAAAAACAGCAGCCUGGGCAUUGUUACAGGAAGCAUCAAUCAAAUAAACCAACACAAAACACGAAAUUCAAAUUUCUGGAAAAAUUAAAAACAUGUAAGCUACAUUGAACAAGCCAGGGUUCUAUGGUUUUUUUAGAAAACAACAGCCAUAACAACCACAUCAUCAUUCAAAACAGCAACCAAAAACAACAGCAUUACAAAAUAUGCUAUUUCGACAGUGGAAUUCUCUUUCUGAAAGACAUGACUGAUUUGGCAACUAACAUAACCAGCUGCAUUCAUCAUCCUUCUACUAAUGUUAACCUACAUCAAUCAUAUAACAAGAUUUCAGAAUAGAGAAAGGCCCUAGUUCACAGAGGUGAACAUUCCCUCCCUCUCUUGGCAACCUAAGACAAGAGUCCUCUCCGUUUCACUACCUCCUGCCGAUUCCCCGGUUGUUCCCCCCCCCCCCCUCCCCCCGUUGUUGAGAGCAGAUUACCUCCUUGUGAAGUUUUAGCACUCUCCGCACAUUCUUCCUUUUUUCUCCAUGACCCCAUAGAGCGGGGACCAUCUCCUCCGCAAGCGGCACCCCCCCAUAAGCCAAAACCAAACACAAACAACCAAAUUCGGAGCCCAAGUAUGCUGGGCUAUUGUUAUUUGUUCAAACAACAGCAAAGCAAUCAUGUUCAUCAUGCAAUCAAACAGUCGAUCACAAUUGAAACUCAAACUAGCAGUGGGCGUAGCAAACAUGGGCAUUUGGUACAAGUUUGUUCAUGCCAACAUCACUUCACUCACACAAUCUGUCCCAAAAGUCUAAUUAAUUGUUUAACAACAGACAAGCAUAAGGCAAAGGAAAUUCCUGAUGAUGGCGCAGAGCUAAUAUUAUGAACCACAACCCAAACAGGUUAAUUAGCGAAUAUCAGAGAAUUCCUACAUCUCGCAUGGCUUCUCUCAAUUAUACAUCAUAACAAGUGUCGUGGAGCAAUAGGAAACCACAAUCAACCCAAAAUGGCCGUUAGCAUUGUGGCUUCGUCGCUAUUAAUGGAACAUCACAGGCCUUAGCAACAUCAACAACAACCAAAUUCUACAAACAUAUAGACACGUGUGGUGCAUCAUANUGGUUGGUUUUGUGAAUUUAUAAUAAUAAACACAAAAAGAUAGUAGAAAUAAUUGAUUAAGAUAAAAUAUGCUAGGGUGAGUGGUUGAUUUAACCAGUUAUGAAUUCAGUCAAGAUUUCCUUAAUACACAUGAAACAUUCAAUUACCUAACCGCAUAAUGUUCUUCCUUAAGUCCUUAAGGAAGAAACUAUUAAACUACCAAUUCUUACUCAAAUGUCCAUUCAAUUAAUCAUUGGUUUUAAUCAUAAACAAUAUCAAGGUUUAUGGUGAUUCACAAAUGUUCCUAGUCCUAGGUGAUGCAAUUAUAAACCCAAUUGUGUGAAAACACUAACAAUCACAAUCCUGUUAUUGAUAGUCAUAGAUCUAUUUGUAUUUGUCUGAUACAAAAGCAUAAGCACAUCAGACAAUUGAAUUGAAAUUCGUAACAUAGUAAUAAGGAAAUCCAUAGAUAGAAUUCAUAACAUCAGACCAAAUCAGGACCACCCCCCUAGCAUUGGGGGUUUAGCCUCUCAUAGUAUUCAAAGAAAUCAUAGUAUAGAAAUUAAACAUUACAAAGAAUGAGGAGAUUUUGAUCUUCAAUGGGUGAUGCCCUUGAAUCUCGCCGUCUUUGAAUCCUCCGUAGUAGCUAUCUUCUCCGGUGCAAUGUUUCUUUUCGUACGUCAAAAAGUGUCUUCUCUAUCUCUCCAAAGUCUUUUAAUAGCCUCAGAUGGUUUUUCCCCAGUAAGAAGUCCAAAAUACCCUUAAUGAACAGGGCAGAUCCACACAACAAAAAGUAAAAUUUCUCAGCCGCGCCCAUCAACACUGGCAGUGUGGAUACACAUGGGUGCCCGUGUUGAUUCACACGGGCCGUGUGAAUUUACAUGGGUACCCGUGUUGUUUUCAAGAGUUAUGUUUUUUAAAGCAAGCUACAGAGGCAUCAACACGGGCCGUGUUGAUGCACACGGGUGCCCGUGUUAACCCUCUAUUUUACCUCCUGGAGUGCUUGUUUCCGGACAAACAACACGGGCCGUGUUGAUGUACACGAGGGCUCGUGUUGACCUACUGUAUCUUCAUAUUUUGGCCUUCCGGAGCAUCCAAUACUCGGCUAUUAGUCCUUUGGAACCUAUGCACAACCUGCAACAUUAACACUACCAAAUCGAAGCAUAAAAAGAGACUUUUUGACAUAAACAAGUAACAAAAUGCAAUGCACUAAUAAACUAACAAAACUUGUUAAAUGACUUUAAAAUAACUAAAAACAACCACAAGUCUGACCAAACUGAUGAAAAUAUGUCGGAUAAAAGGUGGGAAUUCAAUGGAAAUGGUGACCGAUCAUCGGUUAUUCUUCUGUGCUUCAGCCAAGCUGACUCACCGAUACAACACUCGCGCCAAUCAACCCAAGAUCUUGGAACAUUUGGAACAAGAGAACAAGGAGCUGAAGGAUGAGA